This 464-nucleotide small RNA is filed under the name Arabidopsis thaliana (thale cress). RNAcentral describes it as "ATSL285150". Lineage: Eukaryota; Viridiplantae; Streptophyta; Magnoliopsida; Brassicales; Brassicaceae. The record is from RNAcentral.
AAUCAACUUUGAAUUAACUAUGUUAACUUAAAUUGAAACCACAGUCAAACAAAUAUGUUUUUCAACAACUCUUCUUCAAUAACUUCCCAAACAUUGAGUCAACAUAAUAUUGAAACUUUGUCACUAACAUAUUAUGGUAGAGAGUUAAAAUAAUUACCUAACAAUACAGUCAAAUACUUUUAAAGAAUUAAUCACUAUUACUGUAUGGUAGAAGAUUAAAUGAAACUAUAAAUACUAGUCGUUUUUCAUCUAUUGUUGUACAAGAUUUGCGGCGCCGCAUUUUCUACUUAACUUAAUCAAACCGGGAUUCGAGUGUCAACACUAUGGAGUCUGCAUUGGUAGUUUAUAAGGUAUUAAAACCCUAAUCUAAUUAUAUAGGUAAAUUAUGCAUACAUUCAUUUGUUUUGUUUUAUGGUGCUUUUAUCUAAUUAUACUAUAGAUUUGUGAUUGUUUUUAAUAUAUUU